This 398-nucleotide ribosomal RNA is filed under the name uncultured bacterium. Its description in RNAcentral is "partial 16S ribosomal RNA". It matches the Rfam family "Bacterial small subunit ribosomal RNA", at positions 361 to 776 of the family's 1533-position model. The record is from RNAcentral.
AUAUUUCACAAUGGGCGAAAGCCUGAUGCAGCAACGCCGCGUGAGUGAUGAAGGCNUUNNGGUCGNANAGCUAUUUGAUCAGGNNNNNUAAUGACAGUAACUGAAAAACAAGCAACGGCUAACUACGUGCCAGCAGCCGCGGUAAUACGUAGGUGGCGAGCGUUGUCCGGAAUUACUGGGCGUAAAGGAUGCGUAGGUGGACAUUUAAGUGGGAUGUGAAAUCCCCGGGCUCAACCCGGGAACUGCAUUCCAAACUGGGUAUCUAGAGUGCAGGAGAGGAAAGCGGAAUUCCUAGUGUAGCGGUGAAAUGCGUAGAUAUUAGGAGGAACACCAGUGGCGAAGGCGGCUUUCUGGACUGUAACUGACACUGAGGCAUGAAAGCGUGGGUAGCAAACAGG